Molecule: RNA transcript, 2345 nt
Organism: Populus euphratica (Euphrates poplar)
Lineage: Eukaryota; Viridiplantae; Streptophyta; Magnoliopsida; Malpighiales; Salicaceae
Gene name: regulatory protein NPR5
Exons: 3
Source: RefSeq, a predicted model, not a curated record
UAAAUAUCUAACACCACCUCUCUCUCUCUCAAACUCGAGAGAAAAGAAUCUCUCUUUCUUUCUCUUUCUAAAACAUACAGUAACACAACACACUAACCCACCAUCAUCACCAUCAUCCAUUGCAAGAACACAAAAAAAAAAAAAACCUCUUCUUAUCUUCUCUUCCUCUUGCUAACUGCCCCUUAGCCUCCACUCCUUUUCGUUUCUUUUCUUUGUUUCUUGCUCUUUAUUGUAUUAUAUAUAUAUAGCAAGCAAGAAGCAACCCUAGCUAAUAAACAAAACCAUAUAAAUAAAUAUACAUAUUUUUUGGAGCCAUGACUCUUGAAGACUCUCUAAGAUCUCUAUCUUUAGACUAUCUUAACCUUCUUAUCAAUGGCCAAGCUUUCUCUGAUGUAACUUUCAGUGUAGAGGGUCGUUUAGUUCAUGCCCACAGGUGUAUUUUAGCAGCAAGAAGUUUGUUUUUCAGGAAGUUUUUUUGUGGACCUGAUCCACCAUCUGGGCUAGACCCAUCCGGGUCCAGGAUAAACACGGUUGGAUCACCAGGUUCGAGGUCUAAUGUGAUACCAGUUAACUCAGUGGGAUAUGAGGUGUUCUUGUUGCUGUUACAGUUCUUGUAUAGUGGACAAGUCUCUAUUGUGCCACAAAAACAUGAGCCAAGGCCUAAUUGUGGUGAGAGAGGGUGUUGGCAUACACAUUGCACCUCAGCCGUUGAUCUUGCUCUUGACACUCUUGCCGCCGCUAGAUACUUUGGUGUUGAACAGCUUGCAAUGCUCACUCAGAAGCAAUUGGCUAACAUGGUAGAGAAGGCCUCAAUUGAUGAUGUGAUGAAGGUGCUGAUAGCUUCAAGAAAGCAAGAUAUGCACCAACUUUGGACCACUUGCUCACAUCUUGUGGCCAAAUCAGGCCUGCCACCAGAAGUCCUAGCUAAACACCUUCCAAUUGAUGUUGUGGCCAAAAUUGAAGAACUACGCCUCAAAUCAUCUAUUGCUCGAAGAUCACUAAUGCCCCACCAUCACCACCAUCUCCACGAUCUUACCUCAGCUGCUGAUCUCGAGGACCAAAAAAUUCGAAGAAUGAAAAGGGCGUUAGAUUCAUCUGAUGUUGAACUAGUCAAGCUUAUGGUAAUGGGAGAAGGGCUUAAUCUUGAUGAAGCACUGGCUUUACAUUAUGCUGUCGAGAAUUGUAGCCGGGAAGUGGUCAAAGCCUUGCUUGAGCUUGGUGCUGCUAAUGUUAAUUAUCAGGCAGGGCCGGCAGGGAAAACUCCUCUUCACAUUGCAGCAGAAAUGGUGUCACCAGAUAUGGUUGCAGUACUUCUUGAUCAUCAUGCUGACCCUAAUGUUAGAACCGUUGAUGGAGUCACCCCUCUUGACAUUCUUAGAACCCUAACCUCAGAUUUCUUGUUCAAGGGGGCAGUCCCGGGUCUAGCCCACAUGGAGCCCAACAAGCUUAGGCUGUGUCUUGAGCUCGUUCAAUCCGCAGCUAUGGUUCUUUCACGUGAAGAAGGGAAUGUGAAUGCUACUUCAACCCUUAUUUAUCCAUCAAUGAGUGAUGAACAUAAUACAAGCAGCUGUGGUAGUAAUCUUGCUAACUUGAAUCUUGAUUCAAGGUUGGUUUAUUUGAAUCUUGGAGCUGCUGGUUCAGGUCAAAUGGGAUCAAGGAUGGAUGAAGAUGACGAUAGUAGCCACAACAACCAGAGAGAUCAUCAUGCAAUGAGUAGACAUGAUCCAACAAUGUACCACCAUCACUCUCAUGACAUUUAGCUAGUUCCCAGCCUACCUAAGUUCUCUUUUUAAAUUAUAUAGCCAUGACGGAGGAUCGGGAGAGAUGGAUAGACAAGUAAAAGGCUUCUUGAGUUCAUGAAGAUUAUUAUUGGAUUAUAUUUAUAUAUAUCCUCUCUCUCUCUCUCUCUCGCUCUCUCUAUCUAUCUAUCUUGUCAUAAAUCUUCAAUCAGUUCUUUCACUUAUUGCCCUUUUUUUGUUCUUCUUUCUCUCUGUUCUGUUUGGGUUGUUUCUUUUGGACUCUGUAGGGCUUUCAAUGACUCAUCAUAUGAGAAGUGCAGUUUCAUUGGAGAUGGGAUAAAUCUCUUCUGAUCUCUCAUGGGAUGAGACAAGGAGAGUCUGAGUUUUUGCUCUCCUGAGAUGAGAGAGGGACGCAGACAUGGAAUUCUCUCCUUUCUAAGCCAGUCUCCAUGCUAUACACCUUGUGCUUACUGCGGUUUUGCGUACUUAAUUGGCAGACCCUCUUUUGAGUACUGUCCACUACUUAUUUCAAUGUUAUUCCUUAUACUCCAAUGUACUUUGUGUGGUAGAUUACCAUAAAAGUUAAAUCAGCACUAGUUAGCCACA